AGAGUUUGAUUCUGGCUCAGGAUGAACGCUAGCUACAGGCUUAACACAUGCAAGUCGAGGGGCAGCAUGAUCGAAGCUUGCUUUGAUUGAUGGCGACCGGCGCACGGGUGAGUAACGCGUAUCCAACCUUCCCUAUAGUAGAGGAUAGCCCGGCGAAAGUCGGAUUUAAUACUCUAUGUUGUAUUUUAGAGGACAUCUGAAGAAUACCAAAGGUUUUACCGCUAUAGGAUGGGGAUGCGUCUGAUUAGGUUGUUGGCGGGGUAACGGCCCACCAAGCCUACGAUCAGUAGGGGUUCUGAGAGGAAGGUCCCCCACAUUGGAACUGAGACACGGUCCAAACUCCUACGGGAGGCAGCAGUGAGGAAUAUUGGUCAAUGGGCGAGAGCCUGAACCAGCCAAAGUAGCGUGCAGGAUGACGGCCCUAUGGGUUGUAAACUGCUUUUAUACGGGGAUAAAGUGAGGGACGUGUCCCUUUUUGUAGGUACCGUAUGAAUAAGGACCGGCUAAUUCCGUGCCAGCAGCCGC
Molecule: ribosomal RNA, 525 nt
Filed under: uncultured bacterium
Lineage: Bacteria
Description: bacterial SSU rRNA
Rfam family: Bacterial small subunit ribosomal RNA
Source: RNAcentral